This 441-nucleotide ribosomal RNA is filed under the name uncultured Phascolarctobacterium sp. RNAcentral describes it as "bacterial SSU rRNA". It matches the Rfam family "Bacterial small subunit ribosomal RNA", at positions 349 to 782 of the family's 1533-position model. The record is from RNAcentral. Lineage: Bacteria; Bacillati; Bacillota; Negativicutes; Acidaminococcales; Acidaminococcaceae.
CAGCAGUGGGGAAUCUUCCGCAAUGGACGAAAGUCUGACGGAGCAACGCCGCGUGAGUGAUGAAGGAUUUCGGUCUGUAAAGCUCUGUUGUUUAUGACGAAUGUGCAGUGUGUGAACAAUGCAUUGCAAUGACGGUAGUAAACGAGGAAGCCACGGCUAACUACGUGCCAGCAGCCGCGGUAAUACGUAGGUGGCGAGCGUUGUCCGGAAUUAUUGGGCGUAAAGAGCAUGUAGGCGGCUUAAUAAGUCGAGCGUGAAAAUGCGGGGCUCAACCCCGUAUGGCGCUGGAAACUGUUAGGCUUGAGUGCAGGAGAGGAAAGGGGAAUUCCCAGUGUAGCGGUGAAAUGCGUAGAUAUUGGGAGGAACACCAGUGGCGAAGGCGCCUUUCUGGACUGUGUCUGACGCUGAGAUGCGAAAGCCAGGGUAGCGAACGGGAUUAGA